AGCAGUGGGGAAUAUUGCACAAUGGGCGAAAGCCUGAUGCAGCGACGCCGCGUGAGGGAUGACGGCCUUCGGGUUGUAAACCUCUUUCAGCAGGGAAGAAGCGAAAGUGACGGUACCUGCAGAAGAAGCGCCGGCUAACUACGUGCCAGCAGCCGCGGUAAUACGUAGGGCGCAAGCGUUGUCCGGAAUUAUUGGGCGUAAAGAGCUCGUAGGCGGUCUGUCGCGUCGGAUGUGAAAGCCCGGGGCUUAACCCCGGGUCUGCAUUCGAUACGGGCAGACUAGAGUGUGGUAGGGGAGAUCGGAAUUCCUGGUGUAGCGGUGAAAUGCGCAGAUAUCAGGAGGAACACCGGUGGCGAAGGCGGAUCUCUGGGCCAUUACUGACGCUGAGGAGCGAAAGCGUGGGGAGCGAACAGGAUUAGAUACCCUGGUAGUCCACGCCGUAAACGGUGGGAACUAGGUGUUGGCGACAUUCCACGUCGUCGGUGCCGCAGCUAACGCAUUAAGUUCCCCGCCUGGGGAGUACGGCCGCAAGGCUAAAACUCAAAGGAAUUGACGGGGGCCCGCACAAGCAGCGGAGCAUGUGGCUUAAUUCGACGCAACGCGAAGAACCUUACCAAGGCUUGACAUACACCGGAAAGCAUUAGAGAUAGUG
Molecule: ribosomal RNA, 652 nt
Filed under: Streptomyces sp.
Lineage: Bacteria; Bacillati; Actinomycetota; Actinomycetes; Kitasatosporales; Streptomycetaceae
Description: bacterial SSU rRNA
Rfam family: Bacterial small subunit ribosomal RNA
Source: RNAcentral